AAACUAAUCAUGGCGCCCCCCACAAAUAGUAACAAAUGCUCUUCAGAUUCAUUCAUACAGUCAAGCUUGACGAAAAAAAUAUUAUUUUCGUACAUACCCUUGGCAGGAGCAGCUAGCUACCAAGCAUUCUCUCUCAAUGUAGUGAAUCCAAAGUUUCUCAAGAGCGUCUUUCCCAACUGGCACUUUGGCGUGACGAAUGCGCUACUGCUGAACGCACAUCUCGGCGUGGGCCUGUACCUGUUCAGCCGGCCACACAUGGCAUGCUCCACACACGCGAUGUGCCCGCGCGUCGCAUACAGUGUCUUCGGAGCUGUCAUGUUCAACUUCGGCUCGGUGCUGCUGUGGGCGACGGCGAAGACAGUGGUGCCACCUUGCACGACCGCGAGGGCGCUCUUUGCUCUCGGAUCUGGUGCGGGACUGCUCUGGGUCGGCUAUCGAUACGUGAAGAUGCUGGAUGAGAAUGCAACGCGAGACGUCUGAGACGCUCUGAGACGCGGCUGGCUGCGCCGUCUCCGCUGCAGGGUGAGACGGAUUUGUCGGCGCUCCAGAAUGGACGUCGGUAGAUCUAAGUGCCGUCGGUUUGUGGUCGAUCGCUAGUUGCAAUCUAGUACCACUUGUACUCAGUACUUCCCCUUGUUCGUUUUUUAUCCUCCUUUUCAUCCUCCUCCUCCUCCUCUUUCUCCUCCUCCUCAUCUUCCUCCUUCCCUUCCUUCUUCUCCUCCUUCUCAUUCCUAUUCUCCUUUUCCUUUGUUUUCUCUUUCUUAUUUAUCUUGUUUUUCUUUUUCUUGAGCAUACCUACCGACGUUGACUCAUGAAGUGCAGGAACUAUAGCAUUGCAUGGCUUUGGAAGGAGCACUUUGGUAGAACACAGAAGGCCAUUUACUGUUUGGAAAGGUUGUGAGAUCGCAACACGGCGUGCACCAAAAUAAUACCAGUUCAGUGUAAGUGGUAUGAGGAGUAGAGUUACGUAGGAAUGCAUCGUUGGAAACAUCAAUCGUAUUUUUGCCAUUGUUCACAUCACAUGCCGGUGGGACAUUCUUUCUUAAUGAUGUAUUUUGUUACUUGAAAGCUGGAAAUUUAGCCGGGGUUACUGACAGAUGCAGGUGAGAGAUUUCUGGCAUGGGUUUUUAAGUGCAAUCGAUAAAAAUGUUAUGAUAUUAUUGAUAAGCCACUUUGACCACGUAUUGUCUCUGCAACUUUGGGGACAUCUUGAAAAGCAACACUUUCUUAAACAUUCUCUAGUUAAAACUAGUUAUGAUAAUCUUUACUAUUUGUUGAAACACCUGGUGUUAUCUGCCUAAUUUCAUAUGAACUAGAAUGGCUUUUGAAAUUAUAUUACUGCGUUUAGACAAUAAAAGGUCUUUUUAACUUGAAAA
RNAcentral lists this unclassified non-coding RNA (1376 nucleotides) under Priapulus caudatus. RNAcentral's name for it is "uncharacterized LOC106813865, transcript variant X2". The record is from RNAcentral. Lineage: Eukaryota; Metazoa; Priapulida; Priapulimorpha; Priapulimorphida; Priapulidae.